UACGAAGGGGGCGAGCGUUGUUCGGAAUUACUGGGCGUAAAGGGCGCGUAGGCGGCGACUCAAGUUAGAUGUGAAAGUCCUGGGCUUAACCUGGGGACUGCAUUUGAUACUGGGUUGCUUGAAUUCGGGAGAGGAUAGCGGAAUUCCCAGUGUAGAGGUGAAAUUCGUAGAUAUUGGGAAGAACACCGGUGGCGAAGGCGGCUAUCUGGACCGACAUUGACGCUGCGGCGCGAAAGCGUGGGGAGCAAACAGG
RNAcentral lists this ribosomal RNA (253 nucleotides) under uncultured bacterium. RNAcentral's name for it is "partial 16S ribosomal RNA". It matches the Rfam family "Bacterial small subunit ribosomal RNA", at positions 524 to 776 of the family's 1533-position model. The record is from RNAcentral.